Molecule: ribosomal RNA, 165 nt
Filed under: uncultured bacterium
Lineage: Bacteria
Description: partial 16S rRNA
Rfam family: Bacterial small subunit ribosomal RNA
Source: RNAcentral
UAGGGAAUCUUCCACAAUGGGCGAAAGCCUGAUGGAGCAACGCCGCGUGUGUGAUGAAGGGUUUCGGCUCGUAAAACACUGUUGUAAGAGAAGAAUGACAUUGGAGAGUAACUGUUCAAUGUGUGACGGUAUCUUACCAGAAAGGAACGGCUAAAUACGUGCCAA